This 72-nucleotide transfer RNA is filed under the name Camelus bactrianus (Bactrian camel). It matches the Rfam family "tRNA". From Rfam's summary of the family: Transfer RNA (tRNA) molecules are approximately 80 nucleotides in length. RNAcentral also lists the same sequence under 2 other names. The record is from Rfam by way of RNAcentral. Lineage: Eukaryota; Metazoa; Chordata; Mammalia; Artiodactyla; Camelidae.
GAGGGUAUAGCUCAGUGGUAGAGUGUGUGCUUAGCAUGCACACGGUGCUGGGUUUAAUUCUCAGUACUUCCA